Molecule: ribosomal RNA, 350 nt
Filed under: Vibrio parahaemolyticus
Lineage: Bacteria; Pseudomonadati; Pseudomonadota; Gammaproteobacteria; Vibrionales; Vibrionaceae
Description: partial 23S ribosomal RNA
Rfam family: Bacterial large subunit ribosomal RNA
Source: RNAcentral
UGCUAACGUCCGUCGUGGAGAGGGAAACAACCCAGACCGCCAGCUAAGGUCCCAAAUUACUACUAAGUGGGAAACGAUGUGGGAAGGCUCAGACAGCCAGGAUGUUGGCUUAGAAGCAGCCAUCAUUAAAGAAAGCGUAAUAGCUCACUGGUCGAGUCGGCCUGCGCGGAAGAUGUAACGGGGCUAAGUAGUAAACCGAAGCUGCGGCAAUGUGCUUUUGCACAUUGGGUAGGGGAGCGUUCUGUAAGCGGUUGAAGGUGUGUGGUAACGCAUGCUGGACGUAUCAGAAGUGCGAAUGCUGACAUGAGUAACGAUAAAGGGGGUGAAAAACCUCCUCGCCGGAAGACCAA